RNAcentral lists this non-coding RNA (103 nucleotides) under Bacillus velezensis. RNAcentral describes it as "Purine". It matches the Rfam family "Purine riboswitch aptamer". From Rfam's summary of the family: Riboswitches are metabolite binding domains within certain messenger RNAs that serve as precision sensors for their corresponding targets. The record is from RNAcentral. Lineage: Bacteria; Bacillati; Bacillota; Bacilli; Caryophanales; Bacillaceae. RNAcentral also lists the same sequence under 3 other names.
AGAAAUCAAAUAUGCAGAUAUCGUAUAAUGGCGGGGAUAUGGCCCGCAAGUUUCUACCAAGCUACCGUAAAUGGCUUGACUACGGAUCAAUCUCAAUCGUUUG